UACGUAGGGGGCAAGCGUUGUCCGGAAUCAUUGGGCGUAAAGCGCGCGUAGGCGGCCCGGUAAGUCCGCUGUAAAAGUCCAGGGCUCAACCCUGGAAAGCCGGUGGAUACUGUCGGGCUAGAGUCCGGAAGAGGCGAGUGGAAUUCCUGGUGUAGCGGUGGAAUGCGCAGAUAUCAGGAGGCACACCGAUGGCGAAGGCAGCUCGCUGGGACGGUACUGACGUUGAGGCGCGAAAGCGUGGGGAGCGAACAGG
This 253-nucleotide ribosomal RNA is filed under the name uncultured bacterium. RNAcentral's name for it is "partial 16S ribosomal RNA". It matches the Rfam family "Bacterial small subunit ribosomal RNA", at positions 524 to 776 of the family's 1533-position model. The record is from RNAcentral.